CCAGACUCCUACGGGAGGCAGCAGUGGGGAAUAUUGCACAAUGGGGGAAACCCUGAUGCAGCAACGCCGCGUGAGUGAAGAAGUAUUUCGGUAUGUAAAGCUCUAUCAGCAGGGAAGAAAAUGACGGUACCUGAGUAAGAAGCCCCGGCUAACUACGUGCCAGCAGCCGCGGUAAUACGUAGGGGGCAAGCGUUAUCCGGAUUUACUGGGUGUAAAGGGAGCGUAGACGGCGAUACAAGUCUGAAGUGAAAGCCCGGGGCUCAACCCCGGGACUGCUUUGGAAACUGUGUUGCUGGAGUGCAGGAGGGGCAGGCGGAAUUCCUGGUGUAGCGGUGAAAUGCGUAGAUAUCAGGAGGAACACCGGUGGCGAAGGCGGCCUGCUGGACUGCAACUGACGUUGAGGCCCGAAAGCGUGGGGAGCAAACAGGAUUAGAUACCCCGGUAG
RNAcentral lists this ribosomal RNA (445 nucleotides) under uncultured bacterium. Its description in RNAcentral is "bacterial SSU rRNA". It matches the Rfam family "Bacterial small subunit ribosomal RNA", at positions 331 to 793 of the family's 1533-position model. The record is from RNAcentral.